GGCCUGGUUCCCUUUGCCACUCCUGCCUUCUGCCAGGGCCUCGGAGCCGGGCUUCGUGCUGAGCUUCUUGCUGGGAAAGCAGGAAGGUCCUCAGGGAUUUCAGGUUUUCCUAAACUCCUCUGGAGAUGGUAAGCCAAGGAGCCUUUCAGGGAAUGGAAAAGCUCCACACAAACGCUGCUCCUGAAGGUGAAGGCAGAACUGCUGUCUCACCACACACAGCAGGCGCCUGGAGUUUGACCCAGGACAUUUUGGGAAGCUGCCUGCAUUUCUGCCUUCACGGCGCUGGGGCUGCAAAGCUCUCAGGGCCUGGCGGCUGAUGGAGCAAUGACUGCUGCAGACCUCCCACGCCACUCCGGCAGAACACGGCUUGCAACAAGCAGAUGUCAAAUGCAUCGAUGGGAAAUUCAUUUUAGAAAUUUCAUUGUAGGUGUUCCCAGCUCCUAGAAUAUCAGCUUUGAAGCCUGUAG
Molecule: long non-coding RNA, 467 nt
Organism: Oxyura jamaicensis (ruddy duck)
Lineage: Eukaryota; Metazoa; Chordata; Aves; Anseriformes; Anatidae
Exons: 3
Source: RefSeq, a predicted model, not a curated record